Danio rerio (zebrafish) is the source of this 119-nucleotide ribosomal RNA. NCBI's taxonomy places the organism in Eukaryota, Metazoa, Chordata, Actinopteri, Cypriniformes, Danionidae. The record is from Ensembl.
UUUGGCCAUCAGCUUGCUCUCUGCAACUCUCAAAUGGUCACCCAUUGAAGCUAAGCAGGUCUGCAACCGGUCAGUACCUGGAUGGGAGAUCACAUGGGAAAGCUAGGUUGCUGCCGGAA